Molecule: non-coding RNA, 106 nt
Filed under: Escherichia coli
Lineage: Bacteria; Pseudomonadati; Pseudomonadota; Gammaproteobacteria; Enterobacterales; Enterobacteriaceae
Source: RNAcentral
CAGUUUUGGUGACUGCGCUCCUCUAACUAGCCAGUUACCUUGGUUCAAAGAGCCGCAAACUCUACGAACCUUCGGAAAAACCGCCCCGCAAAGGCGGUUUUUUCGU